GUAACACAUCGGAACGCGUCCUGUAAUGGGGGAUAACCUGGCGAGAGCCAGGCUAAUACCGCAUACGUCCUGAGGGAGAAAGCGGGGGAUUGGCAACGACCUCGCGUUAUAGGAGUGGCCGAUGUCGGAUUAGCUAGUUGGUGGGUAAAGGCCUACCAAGGCGACGAUCCGUAGCUGGUACUGAGAGGACGACCAGCCACACUGGGACUGAGACACGGCCCAGACUCCUACGGGAGGCAGCAGUGGGGAAUUUUGGACAAUGGGGCAACCCUGAUCCAGCCAUGCCGCGUGAGUGAAGAAGGCCUUCGGGUUGUAAAGCUCUUUCGGCCGGGAAGAAAUCGCAUGGGUUAAUACCCUGUGUGGAUGACGGUACCGGCAUAAGAAGCACCGGCUAACUACGUG
RNAcentral lists this ribosomal RNA (402 nucleotides) under uncultured bacterium. Its description in RNAcentral is "bacterial SSU rRNA". It matches the Rfam family "Bacterial small subunit ribosomal RNA", at positions 110 to 507 of the family's 1533-position model. The record is from RNAcentral.